UACGUAGGUGGCAAGCGUUAUCCGGAAUUAUUGGGCGUAAAGCGCGCGUAGGCGGUUUUUUAAGUCUGAUGUGAAAGCCCACGGCUCAACCGUGGAGGGUCAUUGGAAACUGGAAGACUUGAGUGCAGGAGAGGAAAGUGGAAUUCUCAGUGUAGCGGUGAAAUGCGUAGAUAUUGAGAAGAACACCAGUAGCGAAGGCGGCUUUCUGGACUGUAACUGACACUGAGGCACGAAGGUGUGGGUAUCAAACAGG
RNAcentral lists this ribosomal RNA (253 nucleotides) under uncultured bacterium. RNAcentral describes it as "partial 16S ribosomal RNA". It matches the Rfam family "Bacterial small subunit ribosomal RNA", at positions 524 to 776 of the family's 1533-position model. The record is from RNAcentral.